CAGGAGGGAGAGGGAGAGGCGCACGGAGCCCGCGGAGCUGGAGGGGGAGAAAGGGAGGCGGGAGGCGAGCCGGCGAGCGAGCUAGAGACGCGCCAGAGAUUCAUGGGCAGGGAGGGCUCAAUGGCCGCGCCGCGCCGGCCGGCCGGCCGCUCGGGUCAUGUUACACGGCCGGGGCCGCGGCGGCCGCCCAGCCUCGCCGAUGCGCUCACGCGGCCCGGAGGGGGCCCCGAGGUCAUGAUUACGCGCGCGGGGACUCGCAGCUCUCCCUGCACGCACUCUCUGGCGGCCCAGCCUGGGGAAAGGGGAGCAGCGCCGUAGGGGGAAGGGGGCUUUCUUUCCCACGCGUGACCAGCCGGCCCCUGCGCUCCCCGGCCUGCGUUGGAGGGCCCGGGACAGAGCCGCGCUGCUCCCCGGCCCGCGGGCUCUUCCCUGCCGGUUCCCGGCCCUCUCGACAGCUGCGGCCCGUCCGCCCUUCCCCACCCCCUCUGCGCACGGGACGGGAUCUGGUCUCGAGAGCCUGGACCUCACCGGCACCCUCCCCGGGGCCCCCAGCACCAGCCAGAAAACGACUUGAUCUGCUUAGAAGAGGCAACUUCGGGGAGAAAAUUCGCGUUCGCCCAGUUCCCCUCCCCCGCCUCCCUGUGAAUAAAUAAAAUCCUAAGUGUCUAGGUGUGCGGUCCCCUCUCGCGCUCCCUGGCUCCCCUCCCUACCUCCCCCAGGCGGCUCGGGCUGGAGAAAGCAGCG
Molecule: long non-coding RNA, 744 nt
Filed under: Homo sapiens (human)
Lineage: Eukaryota; Metazoa; Chordata; Mammalia; Primates; Hominidae
Description: HSALNT0042402
Source: RNAcentral